RNAcentral lists this ribosomal RNA (253 nucleotides) under uncultured bacterium. Its description in RNAcentral is "partial 16S ribosomal RNA". It matches the Rfam family "Bacterial small subunit ribosomal RNA", at positions 524 to 776 of the family's 1533-position model. The record is from RNAcentral.
UACAGAGGGGGCAAGCGUUGUUCGGAAUUACUGGGCGUAAAGGGCGCGUAGGCGGCCAACUAAGUCGGAUGUGAAAUCCCCAGGCUUAACCUGGGAACUGCAUCCGAUACUGGAUGGCUUGAAUCCGGGAGAGGGAUGCAGAAUUCCAGGUGUAGCGGUGAAAUGCGUAGAUAUCUGGAGGAAUACCGGUGGCGAAGGCGGCAUCCUGGACCAACAUUGACGCUGAGGAGCGAAAGCCAGGGGAGCAAACGGG